GGUGUUGAAACUCCUCUCCACAAUCUGCGCCUUUGCCAGAACGGCUGAAUAUGUCUUGAGCUCUAGUACCAAUAAGUGGUGCUUGAUCUCUGGGCGGAGGCCCCACUGGAAUCUCCUAGCCUUCCUGCCCUCAUCUAUCAAUGUCUCAAGGGAGUAUCGGCCCAGCUCUAGGAACUUACGAACAUAUUCUGAUACCGUCAUGUUUCCCUAGACAAGUUGGACAAACUCUAUCUCCUUUAGAUGUCGGAUGUUCUCGGGGAGGUACUCCGCAUGAAAGGCUGCUAAGAACUGCUCUCAAGU
Molecule: long non-coding RNA, 300 nt
Filed under: Carica papaya (papaya)
Lineage: Eukaryota; Viridiplantae; Streptophyta; Magnoliopsida; Brassicales; Caricaceae
Description: long non-coding RNA (CPAP_LNC001903)
Source: RNAcentral